UACGUAGGGGCCGAGCGUUGUCCGGAGUUACUGGGCGUAAAGCGCGCGCAGGCGGCUCGUCAAGCCUGACGUGAAAGCCCCCGGCUCAACCGGGGAGGGUCGUCGGGGACUGGCGGGCUUGAGGUCGGCAGGGGUUGGUGGAAUUCCCGGUGUAGUGGUGAAAUGCGUAGAGAUCGGGAGGAACACCCGUGGCGAAGGCGACUGCCUGGGCCAACACUGACACUGAGGCACGAAAGCGUGGGGAGCAAAC
RNAcentral lists this ribosomal RNA (250 nucleotides) under uncultured bacterium. RNAcentral describes it as "partial 16S ribosomal RNA". It matches the Rfam family "Bacterial small subunit ribosomal RNA", at positions 524 to 773 of the family's 1533-position model. The record is from RNAcentral.